AGUGAACGCUGGCGGUAGGCCUAACACAUGCAAGUCGAACGGCAGCACAGUAAGAGCUUGCUCUUACGGGUGGCGAGUGGCGGACGGGUGAGGAAUACAUCGGAAUCUACUUUUUCGUGGGGGAUAACGUAGGGAAACUUACGCUAAUACCGCAUACGACCUACGGUUGAAAGCAGGGGAUCUUCGGACCUUGCGCGAUUGAUUGAGCCGAUUUCGGAUUAGCUAGUUGGCGGGGUAAAGGCCCACCAAGGCGACGAUCCGUAGCUGGUCUGAGAGGAUGAUCAGCCACACUGGAACUGAGACACGGUCCAGACUCCUACGGGAGGCAGCAGUGGGGAAUAUUGGACAAUGGGCGCAAGCCUGAUCCAGCCAUACCGCGUGGGUGAAGAAGGCCUUCGGGUUGUAAAGCCCUUUUGUUGGGAAAGAAAAGCAGCAGGUUAAUACCCCGCUGUUCUGACGGUACCCAAAGAAUAAGCACCGGCUAACUUCGUG
Molecule: ribosomal RNA, 492 nt
Filed under: uncultured bacterium
Lineage: Bacteria
Description: partial 16S ribosomal RNA
Rfam family: Bacterial small subunit ribosomal RNA
Source: RNAcentral